GGUGAACUGCGGAGGAUCAUU
RNAcentral lists this ribosomal RNA (21 nucleotides) under Melanohalea elegantula. RNAcentral's name for it is "partial 18S ribosomal RNA". Lineage: Eukaryota; Fungi; Ascomycota; Lecanoromycetes; Lecanorales; Parmeliaceae. The record is from RNAcentral.